This 464-nucleotide ribosomal RNA is filed under the name Vreelandella stevensii. RNAcentral's name for it is "partial 16S ribosomal RNA". It matches the Rfam family "Bacterial small subunit ribosomal RNA", at positions 338 to 795 of the family's 1533-position model. Lineage: Bacteria; Pseudomonadati; Pseudomonadota; Gammaproteobacteria; Oceanospirillales; Halomonadaceae. The record is from RNAcentral.
CCUACGGGGGGCUGCAGUGGGGAAUAUUGGACAAUGGGGGCAACCCUGAUCCAGCCAUGCCGCGUGUGUGAAGAAGGCCCUCGGGUUGUAAAGCACUUUCAGUGAGGAAGAACGCCUGGUGGUGAAUACCCAUCAGGAAAGACAUCACUCACAGAAGAAGCACCGGCUAACUCCGUGCCAGAGCCGCGGUAAUACGGAGGGUGCGAGCGUUAAUCGGAAUUACUGGGCGUAAAGCGCGCGUAGGUGGCUUGAUAAGCCGGUUGUGAAAGCCCCGGGCUCAACCUGGGAACGGCAUCCGGAACUGUCAAGCUAGAGUGAAGGAGAGGAAGGUAGAAUUCCCGGUGUAGCGGUGAAAUGCGUAGAGAUCGGGAGGAAUACCAGUGGCGAAGGCGGCCUUCUGGACUGACACUGACACUGAGGUGCGAAAGCGUGGGUAGCAAACAGGAUUAGAUACCCUUGUAGUC